RNAcentral lists this ribosomal RNA (253 nucleotides) under uncultured bacterium. RNAcentral describes it as "partial 16S ribosomal RNA". It matches the Rfam family "Bacterial small subunit ribosomal RNA", at positions 524 to 776 of the family's 1533-position model. The record is from RNAcentral.
UACAGAGGGUGCAAGCGUUAAUCGGAAUUACUGGGCGUAAAGCGCAUGUAGGUGGUUGUGAAAGUUUGAUGUGAAAGCCCUGGGCUUAACCUGGGAAUGGCGUUGAAAACUACAUAACUUGAGUCUGAUAGAGGGUAGUGGAAUUUCCGGUGUAGCGGUGAAAUGCGUAGAGAUCGGAAAGAACAUCAGUGGCGAAGGCGGCUACCUGGGUCAAGACUGACACUGAGGUGCGAAAGCGUGGGGAGCAAACAGG